CCAGAAGUGGUCUGCAAAGAGAUGACUGUGGAUCCCAGAUCCACAGUCAGCUCUGUGCUGCCUACAUCUGA
RNAcentral lists this microRNA precursor (71 nucleotides) under Mandrillus leucophaeus (drill). RNAcentral describes it as "miRNA (ENSMLEG00000014631.1)". Lineage: Eukaryota; Metazoa; Chordata; Mammalia; Primates; Cercopithecidae. The record is from RNAcentral.